ACAAGCGGUGGAUGAUGUGGUUUAAUUCGAUGCAACGCGAAAACCUUACCACCUUUGACAUGGCAGGAAGUUGCCAGAGAUGGUUUCGUGCUCGAAAGAGAACCUGCACACAGGUGCUGCAUGGCUGUCGUCAGCUCGUGUCGUGAGAUGUUGGGUUAAGUCCCGCAACGAGCGCAACCCUUGCCAUCAGUUGCUACGAAAGGGCACUCUGAUGGGACUGCCGGUGACAAACCGGAGGAAGGUGGGGAUGACGUCAAGUCCUCAUGGCCCUUAUAGGUGGGGCUACACACGUCAUACAAUGGCCGGUACAAAGGGCAGCCAACCCGCGAGGGGGAGCCAAUCCCAUAAAGCCGGUCGUAGUCCGGAUCGCAGUCUGCAACUCGACUGCGUGAAGUCGGAAUCGCUAGUAAUCGUGGAUCAGCAUGUCACGGUGAAUACGUUCCCGGGUCUU
Molecule: ribosomal RNA, 451 nt
Filed under: uncultured Hydrogenophaga sp.
Lineage: Bacteria; Pseudomonadati; Pseudomonadota; Betaproteobacteria; Burkholderiales; Comamonadaceae
Description: bacterial SSU rRNA
Rfam family: Bacterial small subunit ribosomal RNA
Source: RNAcentral